Peromyscus eremicus (cactus mouse) is the source of this 707-nucleotide long non-coding RNA. RefSeq lists it as uncharacterized. The transcript is spliced from 3 exons. The record is from RefSeq and is a predicted model, not a curated record. NCBI's taxonomy places the organism in Eukaryota, Metazoa, Chordata, Mammalia, Rodentia, Cricetidae.
AAAAACCUUCAAUUUUAAUUAGACAAAACGGUUGAAGUGCCAUGAAAUAAUCCUUCUGUAGAUUGUGAAAAUGUGUUGCUCUCAUUGUUAAUAGAAAGCUGACUGCCCGAUGGCUGGACAGUAUUUUUGGGGCAGAGAGAAUGCUGGCGAGAAAAAAAGCAGAGUUUGAGGAGUCAUGAGGAGAUGCCAUGAGACACAGAUCAGGCCGGAUGGGAAGUAUGUAAACGAGAUGUCUGAGGGAGGUAAUGCAGACCCAGAAAUACAAAAAUGAUUGGAGACAAGCAUAAUCAUCAAAAAGAGAAUUCAUCCAGCAACUAAUGGGAAUAGAUACAAAGACCCACAGUAAAAUAUUAGUCGAAGCUCAAGAAAUCCUUCAGAAGACAGGGAGAAAAGAUUGCAGGAGCCAGUGGGGUCACGGACACCACAAGAAAACCCAAAGAAUCAACUAACUUGGCUACUCAAGGUUCACAGAGACUGAACUGACAACCAGAGAACUCGCAUGGGACUGAUCUAGACCCUCUGCAAUAUGUUACAGUUGUGUAGUUUAGUCUUCUUGUGGGACUCCUAACAGUGGUAGCAGGGGCUUUCUCUGAUUAUUUUGCCUGCUUUGAGGACCCUUUUCCUCCUACGGUGUUGCCUUACCCAGCCUUAACACAAGGGGAUGUGCCUGGUCUUAUUGCAACAUAAUAUGCCAUAUUUGGUUGAUA